Molecule: non-coding RNA, 30 nt
Filed under: Mus musculus (house mouse)
Lineage: Eukaryota; Metazoa; Chordata; Mammalia; Rodentia; Muridae
Source: RNAcentral
UAAAAGUAUACAAGUGGAAGUGCCUGUGAU